Molecule: long non-coding RNA, 1922 nt
Organism: Neogobius melanostomus (round goby)
Lineage: Eukaryota; Metazoa; Chordata; Actinopteri; Gobiiformes; Gobiidae
Source: Ensembl
GGGAGGCCGGAGAGGCCGCCGGGUGCAGAGCGGGGGUUACCACAGGACACUGCUGGGUCCGCCGGAGUCCGUCCAGGGCAGGACCUCACAACCAGCGAAAGAUCGCCACUCGCAAAUGACCCGGAGAUCUCAUUGCCUUUGGAUAUACUGUCUUUUAGCGCGUGCCAACUUAAGACGCUUGACAUGACAGUGAGUUUAUUUCAGUCAUUUCAUUCGGUUGUAUUUUGAAGCCUUUUGGCUUGGACUGAUUUUCCGGCGAGUGGAGCACCCGGUGUUUUUUGUGACCAAGUGGACCUUUCUGUUUUGACCGAAUCCUCGUAAUUUUCUGGUUUCCCCGACGCAACAUUUCUGCUGGUUUAUAGUGGCCAUCUACGAAAGUCAGUAAAGGGAUUAACGUGCUCUAUGACCAACCUAAGCUAGUGAAAUGCUAACGAUAGCGACCCGUGUGUUGCAACCUCUGUCCGCUUUGUAAACUGUAGCCUGUAGGUGUUGCUCUCAUUUCUAUUCCUUUCUACGCAGCUGCAAGUCCAAUCGUAGAAAGUUAUCGGCACUUGUAGCAGGGCAUCAGCGCAAUCCGGUUGGACUGAAAUUAGCUCCCGCAGCCGCCGGUGGGGAAGUUUGCAUGUAGCUCCAGUGUCCGAAGGGGCUAAAAGGUCAGAGGGACCGGGGCAGGCUUUGCUCGGCCGCCCCUCCUCCUCCUCUUCCAUGAGUUUUGUGAUGAAGAUGUGAACUCUCCCCGCUCCUUCCGCUCUCUCCUCGCCGUGCGCACUGCUUUGAUCUUUUCCCCACUCUUUUGGCACAAAGACAUCAAACGCUCCGUCCUCACUGCGCUCCUCUCCUCGGGGAUGUACAGUGAAAGCGUGGAUGUGGUGGGUUUGAGCCCCACUCCCAGCAGCCCCAGCCCUGGCUCUUUUCUGGGCAUGGACUACUACCACAGACCUCCGGGGCUCGGGCCGGAUAAGGGCUUGCUGUCCGGUGUUGGAGGUCUUCAGCGGACGUUUGGAGGCUCACUGGUCACCGGUAGACACUGGAGCGGUUCCAGCCAUUAGGGGUCACCCAAGAAACUUGAGACUUGACCGAUCCUCAAUGCCACUGGAGCAGGACAGCCGCCGUAAGCAAGCUGGCCACUGUGUUUUCUUUUUAACUACUGCAGUUUUUUCUGCAUCAUCAAGCUCAAAGAGAAAGUUUCAGUAUCUUAAGAAGUCAAGUGACAGCAGAGUUCAAGCCUCUUCUGAGAUCGAAAGACUUAACAAUGUAUGUAACAUCUCAUGGUUUACAGACUGUUUAAAAUAAAUUCAUCAAACUUUAGACAGGAAAUAUGCCCCAUUAACAAAUUGCUGACAUUUAUAAAGAAAUGGUCAACAAUAAGAGUAAGCGCUAUAGUCGGUAAGGUAGUGUGAACAUUUGUUUACGCUGGUUUACUGUUUUACCAUGGAUAUCAGACCCCUGACCCUGACCCCUCAGGAACUAAUUGCUUCAGUUAUUGCGCAAUACUUACAUAAAGACAAUAAAGGUAAAUGUUCUACCCCAUUAAAGCUUAGGAGGACAUUGCAAAGAGUAAAAACAGUGCUUUAGUGAGCGCUGCAGGUGCUCUUCUGAACACGCGCGGAAACCAUGAAAGCUUUUUAAGUAUAGGGAAAAUAAAUCAUGAUAUGUGAGUAAACAUUAUAACCAGGCGGCUGCAGACUUAGGAGUCAUUUUUCUUUCAACUUGACAGGCCACACAGAUCUAUCAAAUAAUCAAUUCUCUCUGGUUCAUUUAUCUCGAGUGCAGGCAGACUCUUAAGUUUAGUUUCAUUUCUUCUUCAUCAAGUAUCUUUCCCCUGUUAUUGUAUUGCCUUUACUUCCCAAAAUAAUGCUAGAGUCUUCCCUAUGUUGGCUUCCGGAGUGUGCUAUCCUCAUAAACCCCUGAUUAGAAGUGAC